RNAcentral lists this ribosomal RNA (324 nucleotides) under uncultured eukaryote. RNAcentral describes it as "partial 18S ribosomal RNA". It matches the Rfam family "Eukaryotic small subunit ribosomal RNA", at positions 1470 to 1796 of the family's 1831-position model. The record is from RNAcentral.
CCCUUAGAUGUUCUGGGCUGCACGCGCGCUACACUGAAGCGUUCAACGAGUAUUCACCUUGCCCGGGAGGGUUGGGUAAUCUUUUCAAAACGCUUCGUGAUGGGGAUAGAUUAUUGCAAUUAUUAAUCUUCAACGAGGAAUUCCUAGUAAGCGCGAGUCAUCAGCUCGUGCUGAUUACGUCCCUGCCCUUUGUACACACCGCCCGUCGCUCCUACCGAUUGAGUGACCCGGUGAAUAAUUCGGACUGCAGCAGGCCUGGUCUCCGGGUUUUGCAGCGGAAAGUUUAGUGAACCUUAUCACUUAGAGGAAGGAGAAGUCGUAACA